This 117-nucleotide ribosomal RNA is filed under the name Phascolarctos cinereus (koala). The record is from RNAcentral. Lineage: Eukaryota; Metazoa; Chordata; Mammalia; Diprotodontia; Phascolarctidae.
GCCAGGCCAUACCACCCUGAAACACACCUGAUCUGAUCUCCUAAGCUAAGCAGGGUUAGGCUUGAUUAUUACUUGGAUGAAUCGGAAAUCACCUGGGCAUACCAGGUGCUACGGGCU